UGUCAUUCUUUGCUACUGUCAUUCUGGGGCUGAGGCUCAAGGAAUAGCCCCCACCUCGGUCCAUGCAGGUCUCAUGGAAGAUAGAAGAGAAGAUCUGGAAGAAAAUGGCUGGAAAAAACCAGACCUCAAAGUGCAUUUCUCUUUCAGUUUUGGCAACCAAAGGAGCUGUUCCUGAUAAUGGCAACAAAGGCUUGUAUGAAUGUUGGCUCCUUAACCCUUCAGGAAGGGAAAGUGGGAAGGAAGAGAGAGAAGCCGGAAAAAUGGUGAGCAUUUCUCAUUCAGUUUAUUUGGAUGUUAGCGUGGUCUACACUGGUGCCCUCUAGACCUCUAGGUUUCAAGACAUGCUUCUCCUCUGGGAGAUCAGUCAUUUGGAAUCUUCUUGAGCCGUGCAAGUGUGUAUUUGUUCCAGUUGGCCACAUGCACAUACCUUCUCAGAGCCUAGAUAUCUGAUGGUCCUUUUAAUUUUCUUUUCUUUUUUUUUUUUUUCUCAGCUGAGGUCUUUUGCUUCUCAAGGCUCUCCCUUAUGGAGAAAAUAAGACAAUUCUCCACGUUUUUCACAUAUAUGUCCCUCAUCAAGUGCAUCAGAAAGACCAAAGAAUCCUUUGCACCAUCACACUCUAGGUUAACAGGAAACUCUUUCCUUCUGCCAUCAGAACAACUAACCAAUCAUAACUUUUCACCCUUUAGAUUUCUGAGACAUGAAUGAGACAUCAGUUUAGUGUGUCCUCCAAGCUCCAGGGACAUGCAUCAAACUUUCUGAGCGGCCUCAUUAAGUCCCUCUCCUUAGCCUGCCGGUGAAGGGGUCUGACACUCAGCACACAGACAGAGUUCUCCAAAGUCUUCUUCAAAUUCCUGGGCUUUUUCUCCAAAUUAUUGCAUAGGCCGUACGUCGGUGUUCAGCUGUGAUAGCACAACCAGUUAGGAAACCUCUUGGAAAGUUCUGCAGGGGGCUGUCCCCCUCACUUUGAAAUGCAUCAGCUAUUGCCUGGAGACCUCCACUGAAACUAUGACUAAGACACAUCCGGUUCAACAUUGUUCAUGUAAACACUCCCCCCCCCCUUUUCAAUGUUAUUACUUUUAUGUCAUCGGUCCAAUUUGUUUUCUUGGUUAGACUUUGGGUACUAGGAGACAAACUGGUACUACCCACACUACCUUUAUAGGUAGUUAGAAGAUAGGAUAGUGUUGAGAAGUAGGGCAUAUGUCAGUGAAAUAGAGCCUUGGUAUCAUUGUUGUUCUUUGUGGAAAAUAUAUUGUACUAGUCAUCUUGGGCUGACAUAAAAACAUACCACCUGGGCACUUGUGUGGCCCAGUCAGUUAAGCGUCUGACACUUGAUUUUGGCUCAGGUCACGAGCCCAGGGUCCUGGGAUCGAGCCCUGCAUCGGACUCCAUACUCAUAUUUGCAGAGCCUGCUUGGGACUCUCUCCCUCUCUCUCUGACCCUCCCCCAUGCUCGCUCUCUUUCUCUCUGUCUCUCUCAAUAAAUAAACAAACUUAAAAAAAAAAAAAAAAGCA
RNAcentral lists this long non-coding RNA (1512 nucleotides) under Felis catus (domestic cat). RNAcentral's name for it is "lncRNA (ENSFCAG00000052486.1)". The record is from RNAcentral. Lineage: Eukaryota; Metazoa; Chordata; Mammalia; Carnivora; Felidae.